AACUCUUUAUUAAAAUAUAACUUCUAAUUAUAUUAAAGUAUAAAUAUACUAAGAGUUU
RNAcentral lists this transfer RNA (58 nucleotides) under Aleurochiton aceris. RNAcentral's name for it is "tRNA-Ser". RNAcentral also lists the same sequence under 1 other name. Lineage: Eukaryota; Metazoa; Arthropoda; Insecta; Hemiptera; Aleyrodidae. The record is from RNAcentral.